Molecule: ribosomal RNA, 312 nt
Filed under: Triticum aestivum (bread wheat)
Lineage: Eukaryota; Viridiplantae; Streptophyta; Magnoliopsida; Poales; Poaceae
Description: partial small subunit ribosomal RNA
Source: RNAcentral
AUGUCCGGGCGCGGCAAGGGAGGCAAGGGGCUCGGCAAGGGCGGCGCCAAGCGCCACCGGAAGGUACUGCGCGACAACAUCCAGGGCAUCACCAAGCCGGCGAUCCGGCGGCUGGCGCGGAGGGGCGGCGUGAAGCGCAUCUCGGGGCUCAUCUACGAGGAGACCCGCGGCGUGCUCAAGAUCUUCCUCGAGAACGUCAUCCGCGACGCCGUCACCUACACCGAGCACGCCCGCCGCAAGACCGUCACCGCCAUGGACGUCGUCUACGCGCUCAAGCGCCAGGGCCGCACCCUCUACGGAUUCGGCGGCUAG